GAUAAACGCUGGCGGCGUGCCUAACACAUGCAAGUCGAACGUCUGCCGUGUCUUCGGACGGGGCAGGAGUGGCGGACGGGUGAGGAACACGUGGAUAUCUACCUCCGGGUGGGGGAUACCACCGGGAAACCGGUGACAAGACCGCAUAGGGUUGGCUGCUCCUGUAUGGGAGCAGGCAAGCAAAGCUUCUCGCGAGAGAGGCGCCGGGAGAGGAGUCCGCGCCCGAUUAGCUUGUCGGUAGGGUAAAAGCCUACCGAGGCGACGAUCGGUAGCUGGU
Molecule: ribosomal RNA, 277 nt
Filed under: uncultured bacterium
Lineage: Bacteria
Description: partial 16S ribosomal RNA
Rfam family: Bacterial small subunit ribosomal RNA
Source: RNAcentral